This 253-nucleotide ribosomal RNA is filed under the name uncultured bacterium. RNAcentral describes it as "partial 16S ribosomal RNA". It matches the Rfam family "Bacterial small subunit ribosomal RNA", at positions 524 to 776 of the family's 1533-position model. The record is from RNAcentral.
UACGGAGGGUGCAAACGUUGCUCGGAAUCAUUGGGCGUAAAGCGCACGUAGGCGGUUCGGCAAGUCGGAUGUGAAAGCCCUCGGCUUAACCGAGGAAGUGCAUUCGAAACUACCGAGCUAGAGUACCGGAGAGGGUGACGGAAUUCCCGGUGUAGAGGUGAAAUUCGUAGAUAUCGGGAGGAACACCAGCGGCGAAGGCGGUCACCUGGACGGAUACUGACGCUGAGGUGCGAAAGCGUGGGGAGCAAACAGG